This 250-nucleotide ribosomal RNA is filed under the name uncultured bacterium. Its description in RNAcentral is "partial 16S ribosomal RNA". It matches the Rfam family "Bacterial small subunit ribosomal RNA", at positions 524 to 772 of the family's 1533-position model. The record is from RNAcentral.
UACGUAGGGGGCGAGCGUUGUCCGGAUUCAUUGGGCGUAAAGAGCUCGUAGGCGGUUCGGUUAGUCAGAUGUGAAAACUCCGGGCUCAACUCGGAGAGGCCAUCUGAUACUGCCGUGACUGGAGUUCGGUAGAGGAGUGUGGAAUUCCCGGUGUAGCGGUGAAAUGCGCAGAUAUCGGGAGGAACACCAGCGGCGAAGGCGGCACUCUGGGCCGAUACUGACGCUGAGGAGCGAAAGCGUGGGGAGCGAA